This 377-nucleotide ribosomal RNA is filed under the name uncultured bacterium. RNAcentral's name for it is "bacterial SSU rRNA". It matches the Rfam family "Bacterial small subunit ribosomal RNA", at positions 28 to 404 of the family's 1533-position model. The record is from RNAcentral.
GACGAACGCUGGCGGCGUGCUUAACACAUGCAAGUCGAGCGGUAAGGCCCUUCGGGGUACGACGAGCGGCGAACGGGUGAGUAACACGUGGGUGACCUGCCUCUAGCUCUGGGAUAAGCCUGGGAAACGUGGGUCUAAUACCGGAUAUGACUCCACGGCGCAUGUUGUGGGGUGGAAAGCCUUGUGUGGCUAGAGAUGGGCCCGCGGCCUAUCAGCUUGUUGGUGGGGUGAUGGCCUACCAAGGCGACGACGGGUAGCCGGCCUGAGAGGGCGACCGGCCACACUGGGACUGAGACACGGCCCAGACUCCUGGCGGGAGGCAGCAGGUGGGGAAUCUUGCGCAAUGGGCGAAAGCCUGACGCAGCGACGCCGCGUGA